CUACCUGUGUUGGAAGCACAUGGAGUGAGCAGUCAAGAAUCCAGAGGUGGAUGGGGUGGGGGUGGGGCUGGAGCUGCUGGAGAGGUGAAAUAAACCAUUACUUCAUUACUUUAUUGGUGGGGUGUGAAUGGAUGCGAAAACACUUCUUGUGAACAGACCCUGUGUCUCAAGUUUCACACACACUAGAGAAACCACCUUAUGGUCCUAGAUGAUUAUUUACAUCCACUUGCCUUUGGCAGCUGAGGUUAAGUGCCUUAUCCAAAGACACAAUUAGCGGCAAAGGAAAACUAUGGAUAUUCUGGCUUCUAAUCCCAAAAUAUGAGAUCCAGAACUGAAGAUGCUAUAGCUCCUAGAAUAUUGCAGUGUUCCAAGCCUUUGAAUCAGACACCUCACUCAAAUCCCAGCUCUUCCAUCUGCCAGCUUUGUAACUUUGAGCAAGCUGCUUAAACUCUCUGGGCUUCAAUUUCUUCAUCUAUUAAGUGGAAUUAAGAACAGGGAUAAUACAUAUAAACUGUUCAGCGGAGGACCCUCUAUAGAGUAUUGGGUAAAUGCUUAUUAUUUUAAAGAUCAACUGUUAUUAUUGCUCCUUCCUCUCCACCAUGUAGAUUCAGACCCUUUCUCAUGGGAACCAGGAGGGCAUCCCAGAUACCUUUGGCCAGAUAGCCUCCUCACGGUAAUAAGGAGACGGGUCGAAGUCUGAAUGCGUGUUCCCCUUCCUAAUUCUACUUACAAUGCUUUACAGUUACAAGGAAACUAAAGCACAGACCACUGCAGUGACCUGGCCAAAAUCUCACAGUGGGAAGGCAGGUAGUACUCAAAGGCAAAUCUUUGGAUUCCACGUCCAGUGUUCUGUCCGUAACCUGUAUCUGCAGCGAAGGGCUCUGCUGGGUAAGGAGUCAGCUUCCCUCCACAGCCAGGGACAGCAAGGCCACCCUCCCCUCAGGCACCACAGGGUCUGCAGUCUCCUGUUUUAGGCUGUGUGGUACGUUCCACGUGUGAGUUCAGACACGGUACCCUGAUCCUGCCAAUUCCUGAACUGCCUUACCUGGGCCAUCAGGGCAGCCAUCUCGAGAGCCAGCUCCUUGUUGACAGGAAACCUCCCUGCCACUAUCUCCCCGCUAGUCUGGGAGGCAAGCAGCAGCCGCUCCCGCUCCGUCUCCCCUUUGACUUGACUCCGAAAGUACAGCCUACAGGAAAGACAGAAGAAGCCAAGACUCAGCUGGGAUCCUGAAUGGAUGAGGUUGUCUUGGCCUCUGUUUAUCUUGAUUUCCAAAGAAAGAAACUACUCUGUUUAUACCAUCUGUGAGCCUAUUUUCUAUUGCCUCCAGAAAAACUUAACUAAACAUGACACAGGGCAGAUACAGGGCCAUUAGAUCUCAGCAACAGUGGCACAUGUUACACCUGAAUACACCACCACGCUACUGGAUCUGGGGAGGGGAUCUGCUCCCUGGAACCAGAGCCUAUUAGGGAACUGGAUGAGUUAAAGAUUCCAAGAGACUAAUGGAAAUGAUUUGCCUAGAGACAUACCUGGGAUGGGAUUUUCUUAUUCAGAUGGAUAAAAAAAAAAUCCUGGUAUCUACUUCUGUAUUUCCUGGAAUUGUUAUAGGAGCUAUUUAUCCUUUAGCCUUAAAUAGUGCUCAAAGUUUCACUCUCCUAAUGUAACACAUGCAGCCAUCCCACAAGGUUGGUCUGUUUCCUUGGCAGGAGUAUGCGCGCGUGCGCACGUGUGUGUACAUACGUGCGGUACAGACACUGAGAGCCUGAGCUGUCCAGGUUCUCCAAGAGGAUCAGCAGAGCCUCAUUAGUUGGCCUCAUUAGUUGGGGCCCCAACUAAUGACCACUACACAGUGUUCUAUCUGUGGAUCCACUGCCUGUCCGGCACAGGCCAUCCAGCUGGGGGAGUGGCAAGUGGCGCCCCAGUGGCAGCCCUCAGUCUCGGCCCCACCCUCAGGUGGUGUUCAGGACCUGUUCUUGUACAUCAGCUUCACCACACGUGUGCCACCCUCAGCCUUUCCAGAGUGCAGCUCCUUCAGGGCCUGUUCCCACUUGGAGAUGGCAUCACAGAUCUUAAAAGAGGCAAGAGAGGAAAGUCAGAAAAGCCCCUGAUGAAGAGAACAAGGACCAAUCUGGGGCAGGACCCAGGCAGGGCGGCAGGGCAGCAGGGCAGCAUCGAGUGACUGUCCUCCAUUAGGAGGCUGACUUGCAGGCCUCACGUGCCUGAGACCAGAGGGGUCUAUAACAACCUCACAGACAGAGGUAGGGCCCUGGGCAUGGCGUGAGCAGCAAAGCAUGGAAGGCUGCCCCCACUGGCCUUAACACCUGAGGGGGCUUUCCCAGAGGCCAGGCAGGCGUCAGUCAAAAACCAUGGCCUCAUAUUACCAGCUGUUUCCAUUCCACCGACUGCUAUUCUCUUGAAGUAUACCCAGAGGCCUACCGUGUAACAAAGCCAAACAGACCCCCUGACAUUUAUAAACAAGAUAUGUGGCAUAGUUUUUCCAGGCAAUGGUAAAUAAAAGUCUAUAGAAGCCUUUGUCCUAUUGCCAUAAAAAGAGCAGACAGAACCAAAACACUCCUACUCAUCAAUGCUACAAUACGUUCCCACAGACACUUCACAUCUUGUCUGCUAAUCCCAGACAAGAUAGGUCUGAAAUCCCAUUCAAGGGUCCUUUACUUGUAGAGGUACCAUAUAGAUCUACCUGCUUACAAUUUGCUUGAACCAGUAAGUGCAGGCCCUGGCAGAUGGAAAGAUUGAGGGGCCAGGGAACAGCACCACAUCCAGUGGACCUAGGUGUACAGCUACCCACCUCCGUGUGUGGAUUGUGUGACUGGCAGCAGCCCCGGUUGGAGCUGCUGCUGACAAGUGCCUCCCUAUCCUUCCUACACCACGCUGAGAAGCAGCUUUUCCCCUGGACACUGCACAGCCCUUCAAGGGCGGGAGCAGUGUAGAGACAAGGGCACAAACAACUUCUCUCUGCCUGUACGGGUAUGUUUUAGGAUGCCACAAAAAUGCUGGCUUGGGGGAGCACCUUGGACUCCAAACCCAACAGGCUGGGGGACAGUAAGGCACCAGCCAGGGGGUUCUCUCCCCUCACCAAAACCCGGAAGCCUGGAGGUCUCCCAGGAGGGGCUCAUUUGGCUUACGGGGAGACCAUCAUCACCUUGAUGCUCCCCUGCAGGCAGUGUUCCAGGUCCCUGCCAGAAGGGUCAUCUGUGAAGAGGGCAAAGCCAGAGUGGGAUGACUUCCUCAUGCCCGUCUCUUGGUUCAGACGCUGGAGGAACUCAUCAACUGUGGAGGAGCCGUCAAAACCAACCACCUGCACGAGAGAGGUGUUAGUCCCAGAGGAAAUUUCCCGAGAGGAACUCAUUCCGGCUAGUGGACGCGUGUAUCUGGGAGGUGGAAAGGCCUGGCUGAGAGGAGCAAGGGCAAAUGCAAAAGCUAAAGGAAGCUGGUUUCCAUAUUCACACACAGAGGGUGAGUGCUUCAGAGACAAGCGGCCCGCUAUAAGCUGGAGGCAGACAGAAGCUCUGCUGCUCCUUGACUGCUGCUCUUUUGGAGGUCUUUUGUCCUGCCCCUUUCUUGGUCAAUGUCUUGGCUUCCCCGUUCGUGCAGUGGUUUCUAAAGAUCUACUUCCCAGGUGCCAAACAGCAGAGCACUUUUGGAGUUCAAGCUCCUUUCCCCCUCCACACAGGCAGUAACGGUCCCACCCCCACCUCCACACCCCAGGCCCAUCCUGCUGGUUUGCCUAUUAUUAAGAGUCUGCCAAGCCUAAGGAGGUUUAACACCCACCUGGCCCAAAGAUAGUCUCUGGGCCAGUGAUAUGAGAAGACUCAUGAGAGGGAUCCCGUGCGGCCUCCUCACCUGGUAAGUCCCAUUGGCGAAGUGCACGGGGAUGCUGAAGGGCAAGGAGUGGUGGAAGGGGUUGCGCAGCAGGAUGGACACCACUUCCAUGCGUGACGGCCUGGCCUCCCGCUCCCCCACCUGUAGAGUCCGCUCCACUGCCCGCUGGCAGUAGGUGGCAUACUGGCCAGUUUCAUUUCUAAAAAGGGAAGAAAGAAGAGAAUCCCAGGGAAUUCAUUCACCCCUGCCAUCUUGACACCUUGGCUGCCUACCCUGACCUAGCCGAGACCGAAUCCGCAGCUGGGCAGGCUGUGAAAAACGUGACGCUCUGGUCUGGGGUGUUAAUUUGUCAUUCAGGGCCUAUGUGCUGCAAAUUGCUGGCAGAGAUAUUUCCUCUGGAAGCCAGAAAUACAUGGCAACAGACCACGAAAAUGUGGGGAUGACUUGGGGACACCGGAGCUUCACGUGAGCACAUCCACAAAACACACAUACACAGACUGGUGUGCAGAGUGGCCCAGGCCUCCACAUGCCCAUCUGUGCACACAGCACUGAGGUCUCCGUGUCUCCAUGACCCCUGUGCAAACCACAGGGGCAGGGUGAUUUGACCCAUCUUGGUCCCCCCGUCCCUCUUCGCCAUGCCACCGUCAGCAGUGCUAGAGUGGCAUAGGAAAGGACCCUCACUCACGUGGGAUCUGCAUGGCGCUGGAGCUGCUGUUUGAUGUACCAGAGGAAGUGGUGCUGAGGCAGGAAAAGUGGGGCACACAGAGCCAGGAGCUGCCAGCACUGCCAGGGAACAAGCAGCAUGGGGUGAGUGCUGGGUCUGCGGCAAUGCCCGCCCUCACAGUCCUGAGCUACCAAGGCUUCAGUGCUCUCCAAACCAGGGCCCCCCACCUUCUGUGGACGGCAGGAUGGCCCAUCCUGGUCAGGCUUUGUCCAGAACGGCAGUCACCCAAUCUGACUAUGCACAGACAUCCAGAAGGGGCACAGAGAAGGCAGGUGUACUGAGGCAGCUUUGAGCACUGAGGCUGCCUGUUGGCCACCAGGCCUAGAGGGUACCUGCUCCAUUCCCUCCUUCCUCCUUCCUCCUUCCCUGCUCCUGGGCAGUCCCUGCCAAUGGCCCCGUCAGCUGUUUUGCCCCAGGAUGCCCACCUGCAUGAGGGAGUACUUCUGAGGUGGUCGGCAGCUGGUCUGCUUCAUCAGUUGGCAGUAGAUCUCGCUCUGCAGCUCGGGGUGAACCAGGCAGACCUGUAGUGCCGUCUGGGCCAGGGACACGUGAUAGUCUACGGAGGCCGCUUCCACAGGCACGUUGAUGAAAAGCUGGCAGGACUGGCACGAAAAUGGUGGUGGGCCCGGGCAGACCAACAGCCCCUUGACUAGCAUCCGCGGUGACAGUGGGCAGAUUGGGCCGUCCCCCCCAAGGGCUCCAGGCAGGCUCCAGUUCACUGUAGGAAGCCCUUUCUAAGAGGGAGCACUGUCACCGCUUGAGAGCAUGUCUGCCUGCUGAGAAGGCUACUCUGGGAUAGAAUCUAUCCUUCUUCAAAUGUGUCCGUUACAUAAGCAAGACAUUCUUUUUUUUUUUUUAAAGAGAACAUUCAGAUGGACACAAAGAACACUGUAAAAUAGGUCAGAAUCUCUGAGGUCCAGAAGCAACAUAAACCUGGCCUUUCCUGCUGUUCACUAUAAGAGAAAGGGAGUUCCUCCAGGGGGAGUUUCACCGGCACUUCCCAAGGAAGCCGGGAAUGCCUCCCCACCAUAACUGACUGUGCGGGGGGCAGCGGGGCGGGGGGCGGGGGAGCUGUGGGACUCUUUCCCUUCCAUUCAGAUCUUUCUGUGAGCUCCCCCUAACCACAUGGGUCUCUUCUACCUGAGCACCACCAAGGUGGGCAAACUGCUCUGGGAGAGUCUGGGUACGUGGUGAGGGCGCCACCUGUUGGUGCACCUGGGUUCCAUUCCCGCUUUACCUUGAAGAGCUUGAGAGCCUCGGUCUGCAGGGCCUCGGAGGGCAGGGUGGUGAGGGAGGUGUAUAGCCCGUCUUUGCUGUAACACAGCAUGGGGUGCCUCCAGAGAGGGGAAUCUGCCCAAAGCACAGCACCAGGGGUGAGGGAACUUGCCUCCCACCUCCACUCCCACUCUGAUUUGUGAAGAAAACAAGGGUUAACUGGAACACACGGACUGCACCGGAUUUAUCCGCAGAGUGGGGGGUAUGCAGUUGUACACUGCAUCUAGCAUGCUCACAAGCACGGCUUACAGGAAGGUGGCUACUGCCUUCUUCGUGGGGCUGCAGUGGGGGUGAGUGUGUGGGGCCGUGGGUACCUGCGUGCAAGCAUGUGUGUGCGGGAGAGGCCCCUCCCUGCAGUGUCAGAUAUGGAUGGACAGUGCCUGUCAGCGGGGAACACACAAGGAGCAGUGAAGGGGUGUGCGGCGUGUGCCAUUAGUUCCUCAGGGUCCUGAGAAUCAGUAGCAAAAUAAAGACCCUGUGAUACCCCAGGCUUAGGUUAGUCUAAUCCCAGUUUAGGCUUCAUUCAUU
This is a long non-coding RNA of Acinonyx jubatus (cheetah), 6365 nucleotides long. RefSeq lists it as uncharacterized. The transcript is spliced from 2 exons. The record is from RefSeq and is a predicted model, not a curated record. Lineage: Eukaryota; Metazoa; Chordata; Mammalia; Carnivora; Felidae.